This 2026-nucleotide long non-coding RNA is filed under the name Mytilus galloprovincialis (Mediterranean mussel). The record is from RNAcentral. Lineage: Eukaryota; Metazoa; Mollusca; Bivalvia; Mytilida; Mytilidae.
CUUUCUUUUAUUUCUUUCAAAAUCAUCAAAUCUAUUUAAUUUACAACAAAUAUUAAAAUACAUUACUUUUUGUCUUGUAAAAAUCAUCUAAUGAACAAGUACAUAAUUUACAACUAAAAUACAUAAAAUCAAUUAUAAAUUUCAUAAUUUAUAUAAUUAUCAGCAGUUUAUUUUGAUAUGACUUUAGACACAUGUCAUGUGACUUUGAUAGAACCUGUAUUCUAUAAACUGUUUGUUCAGAAAUUAUUGCCAAAAAAUUGACAGGGUCAUAAUCGCAUUAAUUUAAACUCGCAUUUUUUAUUAUUUUUGUAGGAAUUGAACAGGAUUAAAUUUUCCUCGAUAUCGCAAAAAAUAAAAUCGAAUUUUUGGACCAAAAUGACAAAAUUGCAAUAAUGAAUACACGCAAUAUUUCUAAAUUUACAGUAGUUCAAUUUUUGAAAGCUUGAAUUUGACAAGAUUUAUUCCCUCAUGGAAAGCUGACCUGUUUCUCUGUCAUGGCGAAAAAUUAUAAAUCAUGCUUUCAGAGAAAAAACAAGAAUGUGUCCAAAGUACACGGAUGCCCCACUCCCACUAUCAUUUUCCAUGUUCAAUGGACCGUGAAAUUGGAUAUAAAAAAUAUAAUUAGGCAUUAAAAUUAGAAAGAUAAUAUCAUAGGGAACAUUUGUACCAAGUUUCAAGUUGAUUGGACUUCAACUUCAUCAAAAACUACCUUGACCAAAAACUUUAACCUGAAACAUGCACUUUCAUUUUCUAUGUUCAGUGGACCGUGAAAUUGGGGUCAAAAGUUUAAUUUGGCUUUAAAUUAGAAAAUGAUAUUCAUAAGGAACAUGUUACUAAGUUUCAAGUUGAUUGGACUUCAACUUCAUCAAAAACUACCUUGACCAAAAACUUUAACCUGAAGCUGGACAGACGGACGAACGAACGAACAGACGGACGGACGAACGAACGAACGGACGCACAGACCAGAAAACAUAAUGCCCCUCUACUAUCGUAGGUGGGACAUAAAAAGGUUUUAUUUUAACAUUCGAACAAAAACAGAGGUGUAUCCUCAAAACAUGCAUGUCCAAUAUGAAAUAGACAUUUUUAAUUUUAAUUUUAAAUUCAGGAUUUUGUAAAGUAACAAAUAAAAUAUCAUCCACAUUAUAACAUAGCUUUUAAUAUUUCAUAAAUAAAUGCAUCAUACUUUUUACAAAUUAGCCAACUGUGCAAGGACGGUAUAGCCAGUCAAAGUCGUUAAAAACUUCCAUCUUCUAACAAAUUUAAUAAAAUAAAUACACUUUUUUUAACUUAAGAACAUGUAUUGUGCAUAUAUUAAGGCUAGGGUUUAUACACCGGGUCAAUGGUUUUGUGUUUACGUGUAUAUAUAUAUAUAUAGGUUUAACUAAUUUUAUUGAUAAUUAACUUAUGGCACUAUAUUACUUUUCUAUUUUUUUUAACAUAAGUGAAACUUGGGGAGGGUUUAUGAAUGUUAAGUGAUGUUUUAGUUAAUUGCUUAAAAAAAAAAAGUGAGAACAAAAGUGUUUUUCAUAUAUAUGUCAAUUGAAAAGUGUGUUUACCCAUGUAGCUUUUUUCAAAAAAAAUAAUCCUGACAGAAGUCCCUCAUGUAAAAAUGACACAGUGAAAACAUUGAAAAAAAUAUAUGUUUCUAAAUUAUCCAAAAUUUGAGUUAAGUGGGGGCUUGAGUUUUUACUUUCUAAUUACAUUUUUGUAUUAUUUUUGAAGUUUUUUUUGGGGUGGGGAGGUAGCUAGGUAUAUUUUGCUCCUUAUAUUUAUUCUGAGAAUCCACGUUCAUGUAUAAUAAAAACAUGAAAGUUCUAAACAAAAAAAGUGUGCAAGCUAGCAACUAUUCAAAUUUUAUAACUUUUUUCUAGAUUUUUUUCGAAGUCAACAGCUGCAAUAUUAAAGUUGUAUUCAUAAUUCCUACAAGGAAAUGAUUUUAUUUGGGGGUAAAAAAUUUACAAUUACAUAAAUACUUUCACAUGUUUUAGAAGCCAAAAAACCGAAUGUAAAAUAUUUUUUUAUAUUA